Molecule: long non-coding RNA, 1634 nt
Filed under: Mustela putorius furo (domestic ferret)
Lineage: Eukaryota; Metazoa; Chordata; Mammalia; Carnivora; Mustelidae
Description: lncRNA (ENSMPUG00000027009.1)
Source: RNAcentral
AUGGGAGGAGGGGCGGAGCCACGGAGCAGGGUGUUGUCCUCGAUGACUGACUGUCUGCUGCCACCCACGCUCUGGAGAGCUUCUUUCUCAUCAGAACGUUCCUAUCUCCUUGACAACCCGACACGGUGCUGUGGUGACAAGAGGAAACAGUGCAAACAAUCUCGCAGCGACCCUGAACUGAACCCUUGGAAGCACAGCCUGGCAGAUGUUCGUUAUGCUGCACAGCCAGUCAGCAUGGGGAAGCUGGGACACGGAGCCUGGGACUCAGCCCUCCGUGCCCAGAGGUGCAGUCUGAGGACGCCAAGAGCUCACCACACAGAUUGGAGGAAGAGUUGGGCAGCAAGGACGGAGGGGAGACUAAGGAAGGGGCGCUGAGGGAAGAAAGACCAGCUAGGCCAAGAGCUUCCCACAUUCUUUUCCCUUGACACUCUACAGCCCAAUACUCCCAUCUGGAAGGAAAAAAAAUACAGAGAGUCCUGACUUAGGAUGCUAUUACCGAAUGAUUCUCGACUUCACAAUGGCACGAAAAUGACGCACAUUCAGUAGACCCCGUACUUGGAAUUCUGAAUUUUGAUCUUUUCCCAGACUGGGCAUAUAUGGGAUAAUCCCGUUUGGUCCUGCUGGACAGGGUGGUCAGCUCCCAGCUCCCAGCUCCCAGCUGGCCCUGCGAUCGCCAGAGUCAGCAAUGAUAGUUACAGCCAUCCAGGACCCGCAUAGCCAUUCUGUUUAACACUUUCAGUACACUCUCCAUAAAUUACAUAAGAGAAUCAACACUUUAUUUUAAAAUGGGCUUUGUAUUAGAUGAUUUUGCCCUACAGUAGGCUAAGGGAUGCAUUCCAAGCACGUUUAACUUAAGCUAGGCUAAGCUACAGUGUUCCGUAGGUUAGGGCUGUUACACACAUUUUUUUCGACCUAAGAUAUUUAAAAUUUAUUAUGGGUUUAUUAGGACAUAUUUUCAAUGUGAGUAGGAAGAUCUACUUUAUACGCACACACACAUAUAUAAGUAAUACAUAUAUGUAUCAGAAUUCUCAUGAAAUUGAGAAGGGGGGAACAGUAGCAUCUUGUGGGGGUUCUUUGGUUGGUGUUUUGUUUGCAUUUGCUUUGCCAGGAAAGGAAAGAAUGAAAAAGCGAGGCAUUGGGAGAGGGAAUGCAUGCAAUUGACAAUAACAAGUAGCUGAGAACUCAUUUAUUCAACUAAUAAAUGCUUUAUGAGCAUUCACUAUAUCCCAUAUAUAGCCUGUUUAAGGAAUUGGGGAUACAGCAGUACACAAAAUAGAAACUCUGCCCUCAUUGAGCUCAUGUUCAUGUGAGAGAGGCAGGUAAUAAGAAUGACAAAUUCUUCCUCUCUGGUUUCACUUUGUUUCAUUUUUCCCUCCCUUCCCCUAUGAUCCUCUGUCUUAUUUCUCAAAUUCCUUGUAUCAGUGAGAUCAUAUCCAUAAGAGACUCUCAAGCUCAGGAAACAAAUUGAGGAUUGCUGGAGGGGAAGCAGAUGGAAAGGAUGGAGUGCCUGGUUGAUGGACAUUGGGGAGGGUAUGUGCUGUGAUGAGAAAAAAAAUAGAGAGAUUGUGUAAGAAGUGGGUCCUGAAACUAAUAUUACACUAUGUGUUAACUAACUGGAAUUUAAAUUUAAAAAC